The sequence is a small RNA, 133 nucleotides long. It matches the Rfam family "HNH endonuclease-associated RNA and ORF (HEARO) RNA", at positions 1 to 128 of the family's 211-position model.
GUCAUAGUACCCACGGCUAAAGCCGUGGGCUUGUGUCAAGCACAAGCCCGGCUAUGACCAGCCUGAGCGCUUUAUGCGCUACGUUAUUCCGGUCAUGACACCCUGGGGUGCUUCUCCAGCCCCAGGCCCUGUC